CGCGUCGCGUGUUGUCGUCGUUCCUGUUCUGGGUGUUUCGGCGUGGCAUUGGUGGCUCGGACUGUUCUGACUGUGUGUUUAUGCCUUGCUAGUGACGUCUGGACAUGUUUCUCUGUUUGUACGCCUUGGAAGAUACGACCAGAAGCCGUUGGAUUUCGUGAAUGGAAGACGCUUUUGACAGAUUUGUUUCUGUGUACAAGACAAACGGGCUGUCGCACUCCCGACGUAGGAAAUGAACACACACGUCGCUGAGAUCUUAAAAGACAAAGUAGGGUGUGCACUUCACCCAUGCAACUCCAAUGUCUGCUUCAUGGCAGUGCAAGCUCUUACAACCGUGCCCUUGAAUGUAACAAGCCAAAUAAACUGGAUAACAGAGAAAAGUUUCCUUGCUCUUUUGCCACUAUGUUCGCGUAAAGAUAUUCAGCCUAUCAUACCUACAUUUUUCUAAGAUCUGUACUGCUUUCACAAUGUAACCUCCCCUUUGGUGCUUUGUGUGUAGGUGCAUUUUGGUUCCCCACUAUGUGUCACUGGAUGCACCCUGUAUAACCUUCACUCCGUAUCGUCAUAAGACCGUAACCCGACCAGCGGCUUCUUCAACGUGGCACAUAACCUUAUGCUCUCUGCGCCCCGUAUAAGCGGUCUCAUACUUCCGUUGUGGCUCACAAAAUCAUGUGGGCAUAUGGGUCACAUGAGAAUUGUAUGGGACGUUUAUACGGGAUUGUUGGAUAUGGAGAUUCUCGAAUGGCUCAUACGGGCCAUAUGAGGACCCCGUAUGGUCUAUAUAACUCAUAUGUCCAUAUAACACAUAACCACAUGUUCAAUAAUGCCAUAUAUAUGGGACCCGUAUUUAUUCGAUAUGGGUUUUUUCAAUAGGGGAGAGGGGGUAUUGAAGGCAUAAUCACAUGUUCUAGGGUAGACUUCAAGCAAGCUGUGCCUGCCCGGUACUCAGCACAACGACAUACGUCCGCAGCUCUCGUAAUGAGACGACAAAAUUUCGAGGCAACCAGCUU
Long non-coding RNA from Ornithodoros turicata, 1010 nucleotides. RefSeq lists it as uncharacterized. NCBI's taxonomy places the organism in Eukaryota, Metazoa, Arthropoda, Arachnida, Ixodida, Argasidae. The record is from RefSeq and is a predicted model, not a curated record. The transcript is spliced from 3 exons.